AAGGUCAUGGCCGGGGCGGGCGGUGCGCUGCUCAAUCCGGAGCUGGGGCUGCCGCUGCUGUUCUGCGUCGGCGUGGCCAUC
This 81-nucleotide transfer RNA is filed under the name Streptomyces toxytricini. RNAcentral describes it as "tRNA-Leu". Lineage: Bacteria; Bacillati; Actinomycetota; Actinomycetes; Kitasatosporales; Streptomycetaceae. RNAcentral also lists the same sequence under 1 other name. The record is from RNAcentral.